Liolophura sinensis is the source of this 3459-nucleotide RNA transcript. It is a transcript of the gene named 2-oxoisovalerate dehydrogenase subunit beta, mitochondrial-like, with no coding region annotated. The transcript is spliced from 11 exons. The record is from RefSeq and is a predicted model, not a curated record. NCBI's taxonomy places the organism in Eukaryota, Metazoa, Mollusca, Polyplacophora, Chitonida, Chitonidae.
AGAUGUGUGUUUGGUCGUGUCCACACAUUUGCUCCUCGUUUGUGCAAGCGAAAAAAAUUGUCAAAUCAUCUGAUUUUGAGGACCAAUACAUCUUUUACAUACGUACCAGACACACCGCCCCGAGAUGCAGGUGAAACAACUCGUAUGAAUCUCUUCCAGUCUGUGACAAGUGCUUUGGACUUAACAUUGGAGAAAGAUCCUACUGCUAUCGUGUUUGGAGAGGAUGUUGCAUUUGGCGGUGUUUUCAGGUGUACAGUAGGCUUGAAAGACAAAUAUGGAAAGGACAGAGUUUUUAAUUCCCCUCUGAGUGAACAAGGCAUUGUGGCAUUUGGUAUAGGGGCAGCAGUUGCCGGAGCUACUGCUGUGGCUGAGAUUCAGUUUGCAGAUUAUAUAUUUCCAGCUUUUGAUCAGUUGGUCAAUGAAGCAGCAAAGUUCAGGUAUAGGACAGGUAACAUUUGGGACUGUGGAGGACUGACAGUCCGCACCCCCUCAGGGGCUGUGGGCCAUGGUGCUAUGUAUCACUCCCAGAGUGUAGAGGCCUACUUCUCACACUGUGCUGGCCUUAAGCUUGUGAUUCCCCGUGGUCCUAUCCAGGCUAAGGGACUCUUACUAAGCUGCAUUCGGGACCAGAACCCUACGAUUUUCUUUGAGCCUAAGAUUUUGUACAGAGCUGCGGUUGACCAAGUACCCACUGGAGAUUACACCAUACCCUUAUCAGAGGCUGAAAUACUCCUGGAAGGUUCAGAUCUGACAAUGAUUGGCUGGGGCACCCAGGUUCAUGUAUUGAGGGAGGUAGCUGGUAUGGUACAAGAGAAGUUAAAUGUGUCAGCGGAGGUCAUUGAUUUGAGGACUAUUAUUCCAUGGGAUGUGGACACAGUUUGUAAGUCGGUGGCUAAAACUGGCAGAUGUCUCAUAGCUCAUGAGGCUCCAAAGACGAGUGGCUUUGGUGCAGAAUUAGCUGCCACAAUUCAGUCUGAGUGUUUUCUGAACCUGGAGGCUCCAGUGGAGAGGGUGUGUGGUUAUGACACGCCCUUCCCUCUUAUAUAUGAACCAUUUUAUAUGCCGGAUAAAUGGAGAUGUUUUGAAGCUGUGAAGAGAUUGAUAAAUUAUUGAGGAGGAUUGAUUGUACCUUAGUUUUUGUCAGGAGCUAGGGGGAAUUUCCCUCCAACUCGGUACCUAAGUGCUGGAUUUCAGAUGUUGAGAUCUGAGGUCAAAUCCAGGUGCGAUGUACGUCACAACUAUUUCAGUUAUGGAAGAGCAUUUUUGACUGGUCUAACGAGGUACCGGUACCCAAAAUAAGCUGUUUGCUAGUGAACCAGUGCAAGGAGAAAAGUAAGCUUCUGCCGUACUCCUGCCAGAUGAGUUUCCUUCAGAAUUGGAACUUAAUUUGGAACUGAUACUCAAAAUCAAAAUGUCGAACGUUUUGGAAUGAUCAUAAUAUAUGUGUAUUUAAGACAUCGUAGAUGUUAUGGACAUCUAUGGAGCCGAUUUCACAAAGCCAUUUUUGGAUUAAGUAAAAAUUUAAGUAUUCAUCAGCUUGCUUAGUUUCAUGCCCAGUAAGCGCAAAUUUGUACAGACCUGUCGUAACAAAAAGACCAGAAAACUGUUCCAAAUUUUCACUCGGGUCCAAGAAUAAAUGCUUCAGUCAAGUGUCAAAUUUUGACAUAAGUAAAAACUGGCUUUGUGGAAUCUGCCCUUUCGUGAUUUAUUUAUAUAAAGGGUGCAUGUUUGCUGUUGGAAAUUGGCUUAUUUUACAGCAAUAGCUAUAGUUUCAUGAAACACAUUGGUAUUUAAGGGUCAAUUAAGGUGGUGGGCACUCAUAAUGUUUUUAAGGAGUUAGCUGUUAAUUAUGUGUCCUUCUCAAGAAAAAACAAAAAAAAAAAACAAAUAUUUGCCGUUUCAUAUGAACAAUAUAGUGAAAGGAAUCUCGGGGUUAAAAUGAUUUUUAAGGAUUUACUUGUACUCAGUGUAUUAAUGAAGAGUUGCCGGUGCUUGCAUUUGUUGUGUGUAAUAUGAUGCUCCAAACAUUGCUUCAUUUCCUGUUCUUCUCCUGGUUUAACUAAACUUCUUCUGAGUUCCUCGAGCUUGAGUAUCAUAAGUCCUAUAUAGUGUUUAACUUCAGUUUUUCUCAGCAAACACUCCAAGCUGGACUGCGGGUACCGACUUCAGUAGCUUCCUGAACUUUAAGUUUUGUUGAACAGGUUCCUAAUGUGUACAGCUGAACUUUGAAAUCUUGUCUGACACAAGGUAGGCCUGCAUCCUUCCUAUUGAAGACCAUCUGUCAGUUUGAUAUCUAAAACUAAACGGCUAAGUAGUGUGUAAGUUGCGUGUGAAUUGUAAAAUCUCUUGAUCCACAUUUGGAUCGUUUUUUUUUAUCUCAAACUUUAACAUUUAAAAAAAAAGGCCACCUAGACAGUGCUUGGUAUUGGAGACAGAUUAGCUAUAUAACUUAAUGGUCAGCAGGCUACAGUACCAAAUCACAUGCAUUACCUCACAUGCACUUACCUGCAUAGCUACAUAGCUACUAGGAGCUCUUGUGUCAGUGUAGCAAUGAAUCCUUCAUGCCAGUGUCCAGUGUGUACUUAUCGGUCAUUUUCUUCUGAUCUUGUCAUGUAUAGUAGUGCCGAAGCAGGUGUAUGUAAUUUCUUUUCAUGUAAUAAGAUUGCUAAAUAUUGCAAUUUCGCAAAAGUCAGUUGUUACACCUCAUACAUGUGUAUAUUGUAUAUAAAAUUUGGAUUCGUCAACUUUCUGUCAUUUACAGAACGACCAUCAUUGCAUGAGUCAGUAUUGUUAUGAAGAUGUGUUAUUAAUUCAGGGUCUUCUUUUCUACACCAAAAGCAAGAAACGGAAUUUCAUUGUCAUCUCUCUUUUUAAGAAUCCAUUUUUAGUCUACUUUCCUGAGACUAAAUAAUCUAUAGGGGUGCUUAAUUCGGAAAAUGUCUGUUUGACAGACAAAUACAUUGUGGGCAGAAAUAAGCUCGAACCCUCAAAAGUAUUUUAAGACAGUUUUUCGUGAGAUCAUCUGGUUACUCUGACUAUACGAGUUCUUUAUUGCUAGCUCCUGUAUCCUGUAAAAUAAAGACAUGAGCUGGCCUCAAACUUUUGUAUAUACAAACCAACAUCUCGAAAUAAACUUCACAGAAUCGGUUGUAAAGAACGCAUUAGUGUGUUUGAAUUUUUGAACCCACCUCCAGCUGACAGUCACCGCAGCUAGUCGUGUUAUGUUUUGUUUGUGGAGCUGUGACAUCAUGUGAUACAAAGGUUGUGUGAAGUUCAGUGUAAAAAUGUGCCUCAUGACCUAAGAACUUUACAUAUGUGACAUAUCUGUUGUCCCUUUUUUAUGUAAAAAAGGGGGUUUUUUCAGUAUAGUUUGGUGUAUGACAUGGUUAGAAUAUUUGCAAAGACGUAUGAAAUAGCGAUAUAAACGUAUGGGUUUUUGUCAGUCAGAUCUUCAAAUAA